UACGCAGGGGGCUAGCGUUGUUCGGAAUCACUGGGCGUAAAGCGCACGUAGGCGGCUUUGUAAGUUAGAGGUGAAAGCCCGGAGCUCAACUCCGGAAUUGCCUUUAAGACUGCAUCGCUAGAAUUGUGGAGAGGUGAGUGGAAUUCCGAGUGUAGAGGUGAAAUUCGUAGAUAUUCGGAAGAACACCAGUGGCGAAGGCGACGCACUGGACACAUAUUGACGCUGAGGUGCGAAAGCGUGGGGAGCAAACAGG
Molecule: ribosomal RNA, 253 nt
Filed under: uncultured bacterium
Lineage: Bacteria
Description: partial 16S ribosomal RNA
Rfam family: Bacterial small subunit ribosomal RNA
Source: RNAcentral